GACGAACGCUGGCGGCGUGCCUAAUACAUGCAAGUAGAACGCUGAAGGAGGAGCUUGCUCUUCUGGAUGAGUUGCGAACGGGUGAGUAACGCGUAGGUAACCUGCCUGGUAGCGGGGGAUAACUAUUGGAAACGAUAGCUAAUACCGCAUAAGAGUAGAUGUUGCAUGACAUUUACUUAAAAGGUGCAAUUGCAUCACUACCAGAUGGACCUGCGUUGUAUUAGCUAGUUGGUGGGGUAACGGCUUACCAAGGCGACGAUACAUAGCCGACCUGAGAGGGUGAUCGGCCACACUGGGACUGGGACACGGCCCAGACUCCUACGGGGGGCAGCAGUAGGGAAUCUUCGGCAAUGGACGGAAGUCUGACCGAGCAACGCCGCGUGAGUGAAGAAGGUUUUCGGAUCGUAAAGCUCUGUUGUAAGAGAAGAACGAGUGUGGGAGUGGAAAGUUCACACUGUGACGGUAUCUUACCAGAAAGGGACGGCUAACUACGUG
RNAcentral lists this ribosomal RNA (495 nucleotides) under uncultured bacterium. Its description in RNAcentral is "partial 16S ribosomal RNA". It matches the Rfam family "Bacterial small subunit ribosomal RNA", at positions 28 to 507 of the family's 1533-position model. The record is from RNAcentral.